Molecule: ribosomal RNA, 253 nt
Filed under: uncultured bacterium
Lineage: Bacteria
Description: partial 16S ribosomal RNA
Rfam family: Bacterial small subunit ribosomal RNA
Source: RNAcentral
CGUAGGGUGCGAGCGUUAAUCGGAAUUACUGGGCGUAAAGGGUGCGCAGGCGGCUUGGAAAGAACGGUGUGAAAUCCCGGGGCUCAACCUCGGAACUGCACUAUUAACUGCCAAGCUAGAGUAUGUCAGAGGGGGUGGAAUUCCGCGUGUAGCAGUGAAAUGCGUAGAUAUGCGGAGGAACACCGAUGGCGAAGGCAGCCCCCUGGGAUGGUACUGACGCUCAGGCACGAAAGCGUGGGUAGCGAACAGGAUU